RNAcentral lists this ribosomal RNA (318 nucleotides) under uncultured Pseudomonadota bacterium. Its description in RNAcentral is "bacterial SSU rRNA". It matches the Rfam family "Bacterial small subunit ribosomal RNA", at positions 30 to 351 of the family's 1533-position model. Lineage: Bacteria; Pseudomonadati; Pseudomonadota. The record is from RNAcentral.
AUUGAACGCUGGCGGUAUGCUUAACACAUGCAAGUCGAACGCGAAAGAGGGGCAACUCUCGAGUAGAGUGGCGGACGGGUGCGUAAUACGUAGGAAUCUGCCUUAAAGUGGGGGACAACCUGGGGAAACUCGGGCUAAUACCGCAUAUUCUCUAUGGAGAAAAGGGGGCUAGCAAUAGCUUUCGCUUUAAGAUGAGCCUACGUCGGAUUAGCUAGUUGGUAGGGUAAAGGCCUACCAAGGCGACGAUCCGUAGCUGGUCUGAGAGGACGAUCAGCCACACUGGAACUGAGACACGGUCCAGACUCCUACGGGAGGCUG